This 468-nucleotide ribosomal RNA is filed under the name uncultured bacterium. RNAcentral describes it as "partial 16S ribosomal RNA". It matches the Rfam family "Bacterial small subunit ribosomal RNA", at positions 28 to 507 of the family's 1533-position model. The record is from RNAcentral.
GACGAACGCUGGCGGCGUGCUUAACACAUGCAAGUCGAACGGAAAGGCCCUGCUUUUGUGGGGUGCUCGAGUGGCGAACGGGUGAGUAACACGUGAGUAACCUGCCCUUGACUUUGGGAUAACUUCAGGAAACUGGGGCUAAUACCGGAUAGGAGCUCCUGCUGCAUGGUGGGGGUUGGAAAGUUUCGGCGGUUGGGGCUGGACUCGCGGCUUAUCAGCUUGUUGGUGGGGUAGUGGCUUACCAAGGCUUUGACGGGUAGCCGGCCUGAGAGGGUGACCGGCGACAAUGGGACUGAGAGACGGCGCAGACGCCUACGGGAGGCAGCAGGGGGGAAUAUGGCACAAUGGGCGGAAGCCUGAGGCAGCAACGCCGCGUGCGGGAUGACGGCCUUCGGGUUGUAAACCGCUUUCGCCGGUGACGAAGCGUGAGUGACGGUAAUGGGUAAAGAAGCACCGGCUAACUACGUG